RNAcentral lists this ribosomal RNA (465 nucleotides) under uncultured bacterium. Its description in RNAcentral is "bacterial SSU rRNA". It matches the Rfam family "Bacterial small subunit ribosomal RNA", at positions 338 to 795 of the family's 1533-position model. The record is from RNAcentral.
CCUACGGGGCGCAGCAGUGGGGAAUAUUGCACAAUGGGCGCAAGCCUGAUGCAGCCAUGCCGCGUGUAUGAAGAAGGCCUUCGGGUUGUAAAGUACUUUCAGCGGGGAGGAAGGUGUUGAGGUUAAUAACCUCAGCAAUUGACGUUACCCGCAGAAGAAGCACCGGCUAACUCCGUGCCAGCAGCCGCGGUAAUACGGAGGGUGCAAGCGUUAAUCGGAAUUACUGGGCGUAAAGCGCACGCAGGCGGUCUGUCAAGUCGGAUGUGAAAUCCCCGGGCUCAACCUGGGAACUGCAUUCGAAACUGGCAGGCUGGGGUCUUGUAGAGGGGGGUAGAAUUCCAGGUGUAGCGGUGAAAUGCGUAGAGAUCUGGAGGAAUACCGGUGGCGAAGGCGGCCCCCUGGACAAGGACUGACGCUCAGGUGCGAAAGCGUGGGGAGCAAACAGGAUUAGAUACCCCCGUAGUC